ACGGGAGGCAGCAGUAGGGAAUAUUGGACAAUGGGUGAAAGCCUGAUCCAGCCAUGCCGCGUGCAGGAAGAAGGCCUUCUGGGUUGUAAACUGCUUUUGCCAGGGGAUAAAAAGCCCAUGCGUGGGAAAUUGAAGGUACCUGGUGAAUAAGCCACGGCUAACUACGUGCCAGCAGCCGCGGUAAUACGUAGGUGGCAAGCGUUGUCCGGAUUUAUUGGGUUUAAAGGGUGCGUAGGCGGUCUUAUAAGUCAGUGCUGAAAUAUCCCGGCUUAACCGGGAGGGUGGCAUUGAUACUGUAGGACUUGAGUAAAGUUGAGGUUGGCGGAAUUGACGGUGUAGCGGUGAAAUGCUUAGAUAUCGUCAAGAACACCGAUAGUGUAGACAGCUAACUAAGCUUUAACUGACGCUGAGGCACGAAAGUGUGGGGAUCAAACAGGAUUAGAUACCCUGGUA
RNAcentral lists this ribosomal RNA (453 nucleotides) under uncultured Cytophagales bacterium. RNAcentral's name for it is "bacterial SSU rRNA". It matches the Rfam family "Bacterial small subunit ribosomal RNA", at positions 341 to 792 of the family's 1533-position model. Lineage: Bacteria; Pseudomonadati; Bacteroidota; Sphingobacteriia; Sphingobacteriales. The record is from RNAcentral.